GGGAUCAGGUGGACAGCGUUCCACCCGGGUGGAAAAGCGGAAGGUGCAGGUGCUCAGUAAGGCCGGGUUUGCAGUGGAGGGGGGGCAUGAAAUGCGCAUGUGUGAGGGGAACACUUACACCAGAAGAGGGGGUUGUAUUGAAGAGGCAGGGCAGUAAAUAGUAUGUGAAGUAUGUGUGUGCACGCAGGUAUGUGGAGCGCACGCGCGUGUGUGUGUGUGUGUGUGUGUGUGUGUGUGUAAUAGACAGAAAUACAAGAGAGAGAAUGAAUUCCUGUGAUCACCAGACAUAACUAGCUUAUGACUGCAAAGCAAUAUUUAUUCCUGGGCUCAAUACUUCUCCAGAAAUGUCCCAUGACUUUACUCUGAAAUGGGUACAGCCAUAAGAAAAUGUGCUAAGUAAGACCAGGCCAUCUGGGGAGCACAGGUGGCUGCAGCAAACCCGACAGGUAAAGGAGGCAGGGCUGCCUGCGCCCUGGAUGAUCUCUCCUGGGAUUUCUUCCCAGACUUUGGUGAACCUGGCUCAGAAGGCCCCAGUGGAGAGGGUGGCAAAUGGGUGAGCCUGGGGAAGAGAUAUGUUACUUUAACAGUUUGUUUAUUAUGAUUUGCAGAGAGCGAGUGUGUCCUUCAUUUUUGUUUCUGGGAGCAUAAACACGUCCCCUUUUUAAAAGUCACCAGGAAAGGAUUGGCAUCCCCUACCCUGCCUUUAUCCUGGAGACUCAAGUACAGACCUGCUGACCACUUGGUUGCAGUCAAGGCCAUUCACUCCUAGAGCUAGGGCUAAAACCAUGAUUACUGAAAGUAAUUUUGUGGAAAGGCAUUUUUGGUUUUCUUUUCAUAUGUAUAUGUUCAUAUUUAGUUCACUAUUACUUUGAAAAAAGAUGAAUUAGUCCCUCAGGCCUGGACUUUGUUUGAUGUUUUUAUUUAUACUUUCUUUUUAGCCAGUUCCAUCUUACUGAGGGCCCUACCCUUAUUUCACGUGGUGUUUUCCUUCCUGUAACCUGAAGGACCUAACGUUAGUUGAGUAAAUAAAAAUAAGGCUAGUUUUUUCAGAUAAUAAACCGAAAGGCAGUGUUUUAAUUAUAGGUGUAUGUGGUGACUUGUAUAGUAUCCCCACCCCUGUACCCUCCAUUCACGCCAUGUGAAGAUGGAGGCAGAGAUUGGGGUGAUGUGGCUACAAGCCAAGGAAUGCCAAUGAUUGCCACCACCACCAGAAGCUGAGAGAGGGGCAUGGAGCAGAUUUUCCCUUAGAGGUUCCAGAAGAAACCAACACUGCUAACACCUUGAUUUCAGACCUCCAACCUCCAGAAAUGUGAGAGAAUACAGUACUUUUGUUUUAAGCCACCAGUUGAAGCCAAUACAGCACGAGUUCUGAGCUUUCACUCCACAGCAGCUCUGUCAGCACAGCAGCCUGAGAGACCCUGGUCAAAUACAAAGCAGUCGGGCUACUGCUCUGCUUAGGGGAGACAGGGUGAAGUCCGUGAGAUGAUCGACAAACUCUCACCUCAUUUCAUCUCUUCCUUGACACACUGCCCUUCUUGGUAUUUUCCAACAUGCCUCAGAAAUUUCUGUUAUUCUGGGAUUUUUUUUUUUUUUUUUUUUUUUUUUUUUUUUGUCUUUUUAAGGCUGCCCCCAUGGCAUAUAGAGGUUCCCAGGCUAGGAGACAAAUCAGAGCUGUAGCUGCUGGCCUACACCAUGGCCACAACAACGCCAGAUCCAAGCCAUGUCUGCGACCUACACCACAGCUCAAGGCAAUGCCAGAUCCUUAACCCACUGAGUGAGGCCAGGGGUCGAACUUGUGUCCUCGUGGAUACUAGUCCGAUUCGUUUCCACUGAGCCACGAUGGGAACCCCUGGGAUGGUCUUUUGCUGAUAUACACAAGGUUCCCUCCCUUACCUCCUUCAGGUCUUUUCUCCUCUGGCACCCUCUUAGUGAGAUGUCCCCUGACCUCUCUAUUGAAAAUCACCACCAAUAUUCCUUAUCCCCCUUGCUGUCUUAAUUUUCUCUUUUUCACUGUCUAGCAUAUCAUAUGUUUUACUUAUUUAUCAUGUCUUCCCCCAGGAGAGGAUCAGCUGUCUGGGGACGGGAUGGAUGUUUUGUCUGUCCUGUUUUUUACCAUGUCUCUUCUGCCUGUGUGCCCAACACAUAGUUGGUUGGUAUUCAAUGAAUUUUUGUUGGAUGAGCAAACACAUACAUGGUAUGUAGUUUUGCUUUCUUGUUUAUAGAUGAGAGCACCUAAUUUCUAAAUUCCUUGCUUAUGAACAGCUGCCCAAGCUGGCAGAACUUACAUUCCUUUUACUGAUUUUGGAAAUGCCUCCAAAUCUGGACAUUUGGCAGCCAGCAUAGGGAACAUUUAGUGUCCUGGGCCCAGGCUAUGGAGCCUGGAACUCUAGGCCCCGAGAAUCCACAUGGUUCUUGGAGGUUAGUGUCUUAGUCUGCUCAGGCUGCCAUAACAAAAUAUCACAGAUUGGUUGGCUUAUACGGCACAUACUUAUUUUCCCCUGGUUCUGGAGGCUGCAAGUCCCAGCAGAGUCAGGUUCUUAUGAUAACCAUCUUCCUGGCUUGCAGAGAGCUGCCUCCUUGCUGUGUCCUCACAUGGCAGACGGAGCUCUGGUGUCUCUUCCUCUUCCCAUGAGCCAGUUCUGUUGGAUCAGAGAUGAUGCCCUAAUUUAACUUCAAGCAUCUCUCAAAACCCUGUCUCCAUCAGGCACAUGGGGCUUAGGACCCCCAUGGCCUCACAAUAUGAAUUUGGGGAAGACACCAUUCGAUCCGUCCCAUCAGUGCCACAUCUAGCUUUCUGGCGCUAAACUGGCUUUUUGCAGUAACAUUCUAUAAUCUUUUCUCGAACAAAAGUAGAUACAGAAUUCAAAAUGCUAAAUCUUUGCAAGUAAUAUAGACUACGUCUCAUUCAUAUUUUGGCAACCCCCUGAAUCUAGAAAUACAGAUGAUUGAUAGUCUACAGACAGAGUCCCUGUGGCCCGUUAUUUACCCCCUGCUUGGCGUUUUGUGGUGAGGGGUUGACAUGCAGUCUAGGGUAUGUUAGGGUUACAAAACAAUCUUGUUUCUCUUUUUCUUCUCAAAGACCACCUCCCCUUAGACGGUAUGCGGCCAGCAAGGCUGGUGUCAAAGGUUCUGUCUCUCCUGAGCUUCCCUCCCAGUGCGACCUGGUCUGAGUGCUUUCAGUACCUCACAGCAGAUGUCUCAGAUAUGUGUCACCUGUCACAGGGUGACUAGGCAAGAGGGUGUGGGUGAGUCAUUGCCCGUCGUCCCCACUAUUAGAACAUUUAAAGCACAUGCUCUGCAGACUGUGGGUCGAUCAUACGAAUUUCCCAGUAAUGAUGAAAAGAAUGGGAGUUUUGUGGUGCAGCGGGUAAGGAUCUGGCAUUGUCACAGCAGCAACUCAGGUCACUACUGUAGCAUGGGUUUGAUCCCUGUCCCAGGAACUUCUGCAUGCCACAGGCUUG
This 3461-nucleotide long non-coding RNA is filed under the name Sus scrofa (pig). RNAcentral's name for it is "lncRNA (ENSSSCG00005031332.1)". Lineage: Eukaryota; Metazoa; Chordata; Mammalia; Artiodactyla; Suidae. The record is from RNAcentral.